This 202-nucleotide unclassified non-coding RNA is filed under the name Hevea brasiliensis (rubber tree). The record is from RNAcentral. Lineage: Eukaryota; Viridiplantae; Streptophyta; Magnoliopsida; Malpighiales; Euphorbiaceae.
UGCUGUGGCGGGGCAAUCUGAAUUUCUGGAAAUUUGCAGCUAUGGCUGGGCACAAAGAACUCAAAGCCCGAAGACAUAAUCUGAGCCUCUUGCAUCAUUUCUCCAUUACCAAAACCAACAGCCCUCUUCUAGUCCUUUUCCUUUCUUCACUAUAGAAAACAGAGGGAGCAUUAACAUCAGCAGCAGCAGCAGCAGUAGUUGG